Molecule: ribosomal RNA, 465 nt
Filed under: uncultured bacterium
Lineage: Bacteria
Description: partial 16S ribosomal RNA
Rfam family: Bacterial small subunit ribosomal RNA
Source: RNAcentral
GACGAACGCUGGCGGCGUGCUUAACACAUGCAAGUCGAACGGUAAGGCUCCAGCUUGCUGGGGUACACGAGUGGCGAACGGGUGAGUAACACGUGGGUGACCUGCCCUGCACUUCGGGAUAAGCCUGGGAAACUGGGUCUAAUACCGGAUAGGACCAUGGUGUGGAUACUGUGGUGGAAAGUUUUUUCGGUGUGGGAUGGGCCCGCGGCCUAUCAGCUUGUUGGUGGGGUAAUGGCCUACCAAGGCGGCGACGGGUAGCCGGCCUGAGAGGGUGGACGGCCAAAUGGGGACAGAAACACGGCCCAGACCCCUACGGGGGGGAGGAGUGGGGAAUAUUGCCAAAGGGGGGGAAGCCGGAUGGCGCGACCCCGGGGGGGGGAGGACGGCCUUGGGGUUGAAAACUCUUUUCCCCAUGGACGAAGGGUUUCUGAGGGGAGAGGGAGAAGAAGCACCGCCAAACUACGU